GCCGAGAGCAGGGGCCCCAAAGCCCUUGCCUCUCGAAUCACAUCUGUUGGCUUCAUGCUAGGCCUGCACACAGCAGCACCUUCUAAAAAACAGUGUCCUAAAAGAAUAAUGACAGGGAAAAAUAACCAAGAGCUAUCGAGUGAAGAUAGCAGAGAAGCAAAACAUUAUGACCUUGUGUUUACUUUAGACCAAUAAGGAACGAAUUUGGGCCGAGGAAAAAACUGGAAAAACUAACAGGGACUAUCUUUAGAAAUUUAUCAUUCGGCAAAUAUUUAUUGAGCAGCUACUAUUUGUUGGACUCUUCUAGGUGCUGGGUCAUAACAGCCAACCGAUGAAGCCCUUAGGGAUAUAACAUUCAUGAGAGGCAACGGAGUCACGAAGUCCCUGAGGCCCAAAUGCAGAUCCCACCUUCUACUCAGGUGUCUUCUUCGGCUCCUCUCGGCGGUGACGGUUUCUCGGACUUCCCUGGCUUGGGGUGACCUUGAGAGUUUUGAGGGGUACUGGUCAGGUACUGCGUAUUGGAAUUUGCCUCACGUUUUUCUCAUGAUCCAAUGGGACCAUGGGUUUCAAGAGCACAGAGGUCUGUUUUGCCCACCAGUGUAUCCCCAGUUCCUGGAACAACCCCCAGACAGAAUGAAAAAGAAAAACUUACUUUGACAAGUCAUUCUUAUUAAAACAUUGAUGAAAAAGCAACACUUCCUGUAUCUUCCAAAGUGGAACAGAUGCACACCCCGGGCCCCGCAAGGCCUCUCGCAGAUGAGGAAACCGAGGCGCAGAGAGGCAAAGGGAUGUGUCGAAAGCCACACAGCUGGAGCAAGUGGUGGAACUGGCCUGGGAACAUGGGUUGGUGUGUUUUCCCUCCACCCCACAGCGACAUGGUGGGGGUGGGGGUGGGGGUGGGGAGUUGGCAGAGGCAGCCCUUUAAAAACUGCAGUAGGGCCACCACAAGUAAACAGAAGCCUUGACAGCUGUCGGGCCCUCUCUCCAAGCACAAGGCGGAGGCUGGCCCUGUUUCCAGCAGAAGGCCUUGGUCCGGCCGGCUGCCUUGACUCAGAGGACUCAGGCUCGCGUUGCUCCUUUGUGGGCUGGAGGGGCCCCGAGAUCACAGACCCCGGAGUGGGUGUGAGCACCGUCUCUGCACCCAGAAGCUGAGAUCAGCUUUUGGGCUGCUCUUUCUUCAGUCAUUUACUGGUUUCCCAUGAUUAUAAUAACUACCCCUGCUGAGCUUUAUAGUUCACAAAGUACUUUCACAAACACUCUUUCAUUUACUCCUCACAUCAGCCCUGUGAUGAGGAGUUAAUAUGACCAUUUUAUGGAAACAGAAACUGGAGUUCAGGGAGGGAGGUUCCGGGAAUGGCCUCAGAUCAGAAGGCCAGCAGUGGCCCUCACGCCAGCAUUCCCGAGCCCCGGGCCAGACCCGGCUCCUUCCUUCCACGGGGCAGCCUUCUCAGAGGAGUGCGGUGGCUUCUGGAGGGGCCGGCCUAUCUCAGUCUGCCAGCAGUGACCAGACAAUCUGCUCUCAUCAUCUGGGAGCUGGGUGAAGACCCCUCCCCACCCUCACCUCCUGCAAAUAUUGUGUGUUGGGGGUGGGGGGGACACAAAGAAGUAGAAGUGACUGCUGAGUGAGGGAGCUGGAGAGAGUACUGGGGAGGGGUCCCCCGCUGCCUUGGCCUUGGGCCCCGCAGAUGCAUGGAAGGGACCAGCAGUUCCUGGAACACGAGCCCAUCGCCGGGGUGCCCAGUGCCAGCUGUUGCCAUCUGCUUGUGGCAAAACGAGAAAAAUAGGACAAUACAGUGAAGUUUUCCUAAAGCUAGACCUACUCGAUCUGAAGUACGGCCCUUUCCCUGGAGCUGUGUAUUUUCAGGGUCUGUGCAUGUGUGUGUUUAAAAAGGACCUUUUCUUUGACAUUUUCUUUAAUGUCCUUAACCGAGCAAAAUAAAAGACUAGUGACCAUGUCAGAUCCUAAAUCGGCUUUUUGGAAAUGUUAGUGACUAAGGAAUCCGAAUGCCUGGGAAUCACGGAGCUGGCCCUGAUUCGGUGAGCCCUGGCACGGAGGACUUGUUUUUGAAUUCAGGGAUGAUCUCUGAACAGCUGGAAAAACCCCGGGGGAGGAGAGGUUGGGGUUCCUGCCUGGACUCAGCCCCUCAGCCCUGGAUCCCCAGGAAACCUGAGCAGAGGGAACAUUAGAGUCACUGCACAGGGAAUUCUGAGAAAGGCCUCGGGCUGAUUCUCCGUGCUGCACCCCCUCAGCCUCUUCUCUGACCCCCAGCCAGAGGGAAUGUACCCUCCAACCUCAGCCCUGCCUCCCCCAGCCCCCCAAGGCUGGAUCCAAAAUAGCCCAGGCCCCGGAGGAGACGUCAUGGGUCAGACUGGCUGCCUGCCCUCAGAGAGGGCAUGUCGGUAAUGCCCAAGGCCAAAUAUAGAGGGACACCAGACACCGCUGGGCCACCCAGGGCCUGGGGAGCCCGGCUGGCAUCUCAGGGCCUCCCCCACCCUCAUCCCUUCCCAGCCCUGCACCCCCAACCCGGGCUCCGGAGGCCAGCGCCUCCUGGCCAGGCCCACCCAGCCAGGACAUGUCCCAGCAAGCCCAGAGCCGAGCUGGAGGCUGGCCCGACGGGGUGCUGGGCCUGGGCUGGGCCUGGGCGUGGGGACACCCCUCCAUCUGGGGGUCUCAAAGCACUUUUAUAAGCGUCACUUCCCACAGGCUGCUGCCGAGAUCAGGAGGCCAAGAGGACCUGGUGUCUCCGGGGGGCCGGCUCCUGCCUCUGUUCCUCCCAGCUCGGGAAGGAGACCAGGCCGUAAACCUGCGGCGUGGGAGGCUUGGGAGGCGGGGGGCGGGCAGGCGGCCAGGUCUAACCCGAGUGAACUCCCGGUGGAAUCGAACUGCAAAUAAUGAGUCCUGAUUGCCGAGGUGGCCUCCACCCGCCACUCCCGGGAAUUAAAAGUCAAAGGGCAGAGCUGCUGACGCAAAUGUCAAGGGAGACACGCGGUGUGGAACAGCUGGGAUCCUGCUCCCCGGCCUGCCGCCCAAGGUCGCCGCCCCCAGCGCCCUGGAUCCGGCGUCCCCCAGGCUGGGCCCCGAGAGGCCCCAGUUCCCCAGGCGCAGCAGGGAAGGGGGCUCGGCUUCCUCUCCCUCCUCCUGGUUCUAAGGUCAACAGAACUCGAUUGGAGGAGGUUCAUCAGAAAUCCCCGUGCAACGGCGUUGCCGGACGCCUGCGGACGCGGAGAGGCAGCAGCUCGAGUCCUCUGGGCCUUCCCCGCCUCCCCCGCCAACAAGGGGGAGGAAACUUCUGCCGACGGGGGCGCGUGGCUCGCUAACACCUGCUGUGUCCCCUAGGUCGUCCCAGGGCCGGCACACCGUGGGCAGCUGCACCGUGGUCUGUGCACCAGUGGUGACCCCCAGCGGUCAGUGUGGGACUUGACCUUGGACCCAGCACUGAAGCCUCCGCCAGGCCAGGGGCUGGGAAACCCCGGGGGCGCCAGGUUUGGAGAUUUGAUCUUGGAAGGGAGGUGUUGGCGUUCGGAGGUGUUGGCGUUCGGAGGUGUUUUUCUCUGUGCUGAAUUUUCCUAAUCGCCCUGUGGCUGGAUCUCAGCCUGUGUCCCACUGUGAGCCAGUCAGCCUCAACAUGUCUAAGAGGCGCAUCAUCACUGAGCCCCUACCGGCUCUUACUCCUGACUUCCCUAUUUCUAUUAAUAGCACCACUACCCUCCCAGUCCCUCAGGCUCCAAACCUCCGUGUCAUUGUCCACAUCUCCCCACACUGGGCUGGCUGACCGGUCCUGCCCCUCCUCACCGUGCAGGUCAUUCUUCCACCCCUCCCGCGAUACUCAUGGCCACUGCCCCAGUCAAUGGACCUCUCUCUCACCUGAGCUACUGUCAUCCUCGACAAUGCCACUGGGUCAGACCUGGCUAUGUGACCGGUCCCUUCCACUUACUGGCUGUGUGACCUUGGGCAAGCUACUUAACUUCUCUGAGCUCAACUUCCUCAGCUGUAAAAUGAGGAUAAUAAUUACAGUCCCUACCUCAUAGAGCACUGCAUGAAUUGUGACGUAUGUGAAGACCCUGACACAUAGGAAAUGCUCAGUGACUGUGAAUUAUUAGAGAUCAUCCAUCCAAUCCAACUCUUCCAUUUUACAAACAAGGAAACUGAGGCUCAGAGAGCUGGAAGGAGAGCUAACGUCUGGCAUGGUGUCUUUACAACUUGCUACAGGGGUCCAGCCGGGUGGCACAGUGGUUAAGUUCACACGUUCUGCUUCGGUGGCCUGGGGUUUGCCGGUUCGGAUCCUGGGUGUGGGCCUACACACCAUACUGUGGUAGGCAUCCCACAUAUAAAGUAGAGGAAGAUGGGCAUGGAUGUUAGCUCAGGGCCAGUCUUCCUCAGCAAAAUGAGGCGGAUUGGUGGCAGAUGUUAGCCAGGGCUAAUCUUCCUCAAAAAUAGAAUAAAAUAAAAAUAAAACUUGCUACAGAGCAGGGGGAGUGGAAGUUCCCGGAGUCUUGAAGCUCCUCCACCACUGCCCACAUCAUCGCGAUCUGGAACCCAGAUCCAAAGGCCCCCUGCUGAGUUCACGGGGCACACCCUCCUGCCUUCAGGGGCAGGCAUGCUUGGGUGAGUGCUGAGGUCGCAAAUACCUUCUGGGAUGAGACAACUACAGGUGACGUCCAGCGGCUGUGAGUCAGGGAGACCCAUCUGCAAGGUGACGAGUGAGGCUGGGCACUCGGGCCGCAGGGGUGCUGGGCAUGCAGGGGUCGUGCCAGACGUCAGACAUCCAAAUAGGGUGGGCACCUCCUCCCGCAACAACCCCGCCCUCACACUCCUCCCCCAGCUCCCACUCACCCCCUCCAGUGCCCAGGCCUUCGCGUGGGGGUCCGUGGGGGCAGGGCAGGCUGCCUCCCGUCCAGAUAGUCCAGGCGGACGUUCUGAACAGUCCCUCGUGAAUGAGCACCUGGGGGCCAUACGCUCUUUGAAACUGAAGGUGGGAGCCCUGUUCUGGGGACAGGUUCUCAAAGCGGACUUCUCUCCACAAAGAGAAGAUGAUCAAGAGCAGCAAGAGCAGAUGAUCCAGGUUCAAACGUGGGCCUGUCCUAGAGUCCUAGGACACCU
Molecule: long non-coding RNA, 5101 nt
Filed under: Equus caballus (horse)
Lineage: Eukaryota; Metazoa; Chordata; Mammalia; Perissodactyla; Equidae
Description: lncRNA (ENSECAG00000051079.1)
Source: RNAcentral